AGCGAACGCUGGCGGCAGGCUUAACACAUGCAAGUCGAGCGGGCGUAGCAAUACGUCAGCGGCAGACGGGUGAGUAACGCGUGGGAACGUACCUUUUGGUUCGGAACAACACAGGGAAACUUGUGCUAAUACCGGAUAAGCCCUUACGGGGAAAGAUUUAUCGCCGAAAGAUCGGCCCGCGUCUGAUUAGCUAGUUGGUGAGGUAACGGCUCACCAAGGCGACGAUCAGUAGCUGGUCUGAGAGGAUGAUCAGCCACAUUGGGACUGAGACACGGCCCAAACUCCUACGGGAGGCGGCAGUGGGGAAUAUUGGACAAUGGGGGCAACCCUGAUCCAGCCAUGCCGCGUGAGUGAUGAAGGCCCUAGGGUUGUAAAGCUCUUUUGUGCGGGAAGAUAAUGACGGUACCGCAAGAAUAAGCCCCGGCUAACUUCGUG
RNAcentral lists this ribosomal RNA (435 nucleotides) under uncultured bacterium. Its description in RNAcentral is "partial 16S ribosomal RNA". It matches the Rfam family "Bacterial small subunit ribosomal RNA", at positions 29 to 507 of the family's 1533-position model. The record is from RNAcentral.